This 87-nucleotide transfer RNA is filed under the name Candidatus Peregrinibacteria bacterium CG10_big_fil_rev_8_21_14_0_10_36_19. RNAcentral's name for it is "tRNA-Leu". It matches the Rfam family "tRNA". Rfam says of the family: Transfer RNA (tRNA) molecules are approximately 80 nucleotides in length. Their secondary structure includes four short double-helical elements and three loops (D, anti-codon, and T loops). The record is from RNAcentral. Lineage: Bacteria; Candidatus Peregrinibacteriota.
GCCCGGGUGGUGGAAUUGGUAGACACGCAGGACUUAAAAUCCUGUUCCUUUACCGGAGUGCGGGUUCGAUUCCCGCCCCGGGCACCA